CCCGAUACAUUGCGUGUGCACAUCUGUCGCUUCCGUACUGCCGCUACGGAGUGUCCUUCGUUGGCGAACAUGGAGUACAUGUCGCCCGCCCUGCCGCCCUUCAGCCCGCCGCCGCGGCCACCUCCGCCCAGCCCACCGCUAAACCCGCCUCCCAACACGCCGGAUCCCCCACCGCCUCCCUCCCCGGGCUUGCCUGACAGUCCAGGGCUUCCCUUCGGACCCGAUGUGCCCUCCGAAC
Molecule: long non-coding RNA, 238 nt
Filed under: Volvox carteri
Lineage: Eukaryota; Viridiplantae; Chlorophyta; Chlorophyceae; Chlamydomonadales; Volvocaceae
Description: long non-coding RNA (VCAR_LNC001947)
Source: RNAcentral